RNAcentral lists this ribosomal RNA (429 nucleotides) under Chloroflexota bacterium. Its description in RNAcentral is "Chloroflexi bacterium partial 16S ribosomal RNA". It matches the Rfam family "Bacterial small subunit ribosomal RNA", at positions 355 to 776 of the family's 1533-position model. The record is from RNAcentral. Lineage: Bacteria; Bacillati; Chloroflexota.
UGGGGAAUAUUGCACAAUGGGCGCAAGCCUGAUGCAGCCAUGCCGCGUGUAUGAAGAAGGCCUUCGGGUUGUAAAGUACUUUCAGCGGGGAGGAAGGGAGUAAAGUUAAUACCUUUGCUCAUUGACGUUACCCGCAGAAGAAGCACCGGCUAACUCCGUGCCAGCAGCCGCGGUAAUACGGAGGGUGCAAGCGUUAAUCGGAAUUACUGGGCGUAAAGCGCACGCAGGCGGUUUGUUAAGUCAGAUGUGAAAUCCCCGGGCUCAACCUGUGAACUGCAUUCGAAACUGGCAGGCUAGAGUCUUGUAGAGGGGGGUAGAAUUCCAGGUGUAGCGGUGAAAUGCGUAGAGAUCUGUAGGAAUACCGGUGGCGAAGGCGGCCCCCUGGACAAAGACUGACGCUCAGGUGCGAAAGCGUGGGGAGCAAACAGG